GGAAGUGGUGCCAGGAAUAGCCCGGCAGAUCCGCCUGCAGCCCGGAGCGCUCCCUCCCGCCUCGGCCAGGGCGGGCUGCGGCUCCCGGGCCUCCGCCUCUCUCUCCCCCGUGCAACACCAGCCCCUCCGGCACUGUCAGGGUGACGGUGAUGAUCCUUUCCAAAAAGAGGGAGAGAAAUGACCUGCCUUAAGAUAAAUGCGUGAAGCGGGCGCCCCUUGGCCGCUGGAAUAUCUCUAUCUGUCUUUAUAUAUAAAGAAGCACCGCGAGCCACCUCACUCCAGGCAAGCCCUUAGCAAAGGAGCAACAAGAGCGCCCGGCGGGAUCAGCAACAACAACAACAACAAGGGCACCGGGAGGGCUUCCCUCCUUCCUCCUCGGUGACUUCCCAGUUCUGUCCUAAUAUGCUUACGGAGUCUGAAAAAUGCAACUCUAAUAUACAAGAAAUAUCAGCCUGCACACAAAAAAUUGUAAAGAAUAUCUCUGUUCUUAAAAAUGUGGGACCCUCUUCUGAUAUGUGAUCUACAGCAAGCUACUUUGAAUCGUACGAUGACAAUGUUAUCACUGCCACAUCUCUGGGAACCAGUUAUUCAUAAGUAUACGGUGGAAGAGAGAGUCAACAGCCAUAUUUGCUGGAGCGGUGAACCAAAUUGCCUUGACUGGAACCAUUACUCACUUGCACAUUUGACAGCAGCAGCCAGCCAGCACUGCACCAAUUCAGUAGCAAUGCUGGCCUAUGUUAGGCAUUCUGGGCCAGGAUCUGCCCGCUGUACCUAUACCCGCUGAAGGCAAUGAAGAUGCUCAGGAGCUGACCUAGCACAAGGUGAGGUCAUCAGCAGCUGGCUCUUUCUGAGCAGAGCUGCAUGUGGAUUGUGUGCUGCAAUGCAUGCUGCUGUGGAAGGAACCCAUUUAAAAAGCAAGAAAUGCAAAUCGUUUUGAAUUACAGGCAGCAGGAAGGAUUCUUUCUCUGUAAUACCUAGAUAAACCUCUAUUUAUGUGGCCAUAUCAUUUCUGCAAGUAACCUACCUCUUAUUAGGGGUAGGAUGUGAUAACAGUAUCAACACUCAACCACACCUGAUGGGAUUAAUUUCAUGUAACUUCCAAUAUGUGUAUAUACCUAUUCACAUCUAUAUUUCCCUCUGUCUAAAAAUAGCCUAAGGUUACAGAUUCAAGGCUUACAGC
RNAcentral lists this long non-coding RNA (1180 nucleotides) under Aquila chrysaetos chrysaetos. Its description in RNAcentral is "lncRNA (ENSACCG00020009187.1)". The record is from RNAcentral. Lineage: Eukaryota; Metazoa; Chordata; Aves; Accipitriformes; Accipitridae.